GUCCACGCCCUAAACGAUGAGCACUGGGUGUUGGGGAAGCGAUUCCCUAGUACCGCAGCUAACGCGUGAAGUGCUCCGCCUGGGGAGUACGGCCGCAAGGUUAAAACUCAAAGGAAUUGACGGGGACCCGCACAAGCGGUGGAUGAUGUGGAUUAAUUCGAUGCAACGCGAACAACCUUACCUACCCUUGACAUGUCGCGAAGCCCGCUGAGAGGCGGGGGUGCCCGAAAGGGAACGCGAACACAGGUGCUGCAUGGCUGUCGU
RNAcentral lists this ribosomal RNA (264 nucleotides) under uncultured bacterium. RNAcentral describes it as "partial 16S ribosomal RNA". It matches the Rfam family "Bacterial small subunit ribosomal RNA", at positions 793 to 1055 of the family's 1533-position model. The record is from RNAcentral.